UGAUGUUACAGCUCUUUCAGAAUUUAUAUACUAGAUUUUCUGCUUUCACUGGAAAACCCCA
This is a small nuclear RNA of Callithrix jacchus (white-tufted-ear marmoset), 61 nucleotides long. Its record names the gene U7. It matches the Rfam family "U7 small nuclear RNA". From Rfam's summary of the family: Animal histone pre-mRNAs are spliced by a different mechanism than nuclear pre-mRNAs and self-splicing introns. This processing involves the U7 snRNP, which contains only one RNA species: U7. The record is from Ensembl. NCBI's taxonomy places the organism in Eukaryota, Metazoa, Chordata, Mammalia, Primates, Cebidae.